CGGACGGGUGAGUAACACGUGGAUAACCUACCUAUAAGACUGGGAUAACUUCGGGAAACCGGAGCUAAUACCGGAUAAUAUUUUGAACCGCAUGGUUCAAAAGUGAAAGACGGUCUUGCUGUCACUUAUAGAUGGAUCCGCGCUGCAUUAGCUAGUUGGUAAGGUAACGGCUUACCAAGGCAACGAUGCAUAGCCGACCUGAGAGGGUUAUCGGCCACACUGGAACUGAGACACGGUCCAG
This 241-nucleotide ribosomal RNA is filed under the name uncultured Staphylococcus sp. Its description in RNAcentral is "partial 16S ribosomal RNA". It matches the Rfam family "Bacterial small subunit ribosomal RNA", at positions 99 to 334 of the family's 1533-position model. Lineage: Bacteria; Bacillati; Bacillota; Bacilli; Caryophanales; Staphylococcaceae. The record is from RNAcentral.